UACGUAGGUCCCGAGCGUUGUCCGGAUUUAUUGGGCGUAAAGCGAGCGCAGGUGGUUUAUUAAGUCUGGUGUAAAAGGCAGUGGCUCAACCAUUGUAUGCAUUGGAAACUGGUAGACUUGAGUGCAGGAGAGGAGAGUGGAAUUCCAUGUGUAGCGGUGAAAUGCAUAGAUAUCACGCAGAACUCCGAUUGCGAAGGCAGCAUACCGGCGCCCUACUGACGCUGAGGCACGAAAGCGUGGGUAUCGAACAGG
RNAcentral lists this ribosomal RNA (252 nucleotides) under uncultured bacterium. Its description in RNAcentral is "partial 16S ribosomal RNA". It matches the Rfam family "Bacterial small subunit ribosomal RNA", at positions 524 to 776 of the family's 1533-position model. The record is from RNAcentral.